Molecule: ribosomal RNA, 415 nt
Filed under: uncultured bacterium
Lineage: Bacteria
Description: bacterial SSU rRNA
Rfam family: Bacterial small subunit ribosomal RNA
Source: RNAcentral
UGGGGGAUAUUGCACAAUGGGGGAAACCCUGAUGCAGCGACGCCGCGUGAGUGAAGGAGUAUUUCGGUAUGUAAAGCUCUAUCAGCAGGGAAGAAAGUGACAGUACCUGACUAAGAAGCCCCGGCUAACUACGUGCCAGCAGCCGCGGUAAUACGUAGGGGGCAAGCGUUAUCCGGAUUUACUGGGUGUAAAGGGAGCGUAGACGGCGAUGUAAGUCUGGAGUGAAAGCCCGCGGCCCAACUGCGGGACUGCUCUGGAAACUGUGUUGCUAGAGUACAGGAGGGGCAGGCGGAAUUCCUGGUGUAGCGGUGAAAUGCGUAGAUAUCAGGAGGAACACCGGCGGCGAAGGCGGCCUGCUGGACUGCAACUGACGUUGAGGCUCGAAAGCGUGGGGAGCAAACAGGAUUAGAUACCC